UGAAAGUUGACCUUAAGGCGUCAGAAAAUUGAAAGGUCAAAUUUGGACCCAGCCUGUAAGUUAAACCAGAAAAUUGUGGGGAUAGGAGUGGAAGAAGAUACUCUUGUCAGAGUGUGGUAACCAAAUUCUUGUGUGCUGUCAAAAAAUACUGGUCUCUAAAUCAGUACCUUCAAUACUGAGGUUGCAUUUCAACCAGCACCAGGCACAAGUGAGAAAGAACCAGACACUACCCUUCACAGCACCAAUCACAAGGCUGUAGAAAGAUUCCCACACCUUGAAAGUAUGUUCUGUAGGAAUACAAAUUCUAUCAACAGCCAACACCACGAUUGUAUCAGGAAACAGUGUGACAUUGAGCUGAAGAUGAAAUAAACUGCACUCGACCACUGUCUUUCCCAAGCUGCUGAAUUGUGUAGGAUCCUGGGUCAGCUGUAAGUACAUCAAAGCUCUGAACUUCUCCACAAGAAGCAUCAAGAUCCAUGGUAAAAUGGCAGGACAAGAUCAUAAAAACUGAGAUUCUCCAUGUAAUAAGAGCAAAAUGUUGCAGCUGUUGAUGAUCUGAAAUAAAAACAAAGUGCUGGUGAAACUCAGUACGACUUGCAGAGUUUGUGGAGAGUGUAACAGAGCUAACACUUCAAGUCCAAUAUGACUUCACACUAGUUUUCAAUCUCAAAAAAACUAUUAAGUUCAUGUCAAGUGUUUGAUAGUUUAUGCAAGUGUUUUAUUAAUUACCAUAUAUGUUACAUAUGUGUCAGUGGUCCCAUAUCACAUUGCUGUUGUCCAUGUCACAGUGUCACACUGCACUCUUCACCCCUUGUGAAUAUAUAUUUCUAUUGGUGUUCAUUUUAUUGCCUGUAAAGACUAUCAUCUAAUUUCUGUAUCUUUUAUUGUUGUCUAAAAUGAGAAAGGGAUUGUUUUAAAACUAGGGAUCAUGGAAGAACUUCCUGUGCUUUUAAAAAUAAGUUCCUGAAACUCAUUGUGUGUGGUAUUUAUACUGCUAUUUUGUUCAUCCAGUGGGGAGGGGAAGCUUUUUGUGGAUGGUUGCUACAAAUGUGUAGUUUUUUAAAUCAAUCUGUUCAGGUGCAUUUUGACACAUCUCUGGAGUAGAUGGGAUGUGAAUCCAGGUCUCCUGACACAGAUGUAGGGGCACUACCACUAUGCCACAAGAACCAUUAUGUCACCAGGGUAUAUAUGCUGACUGGGAUCUGGCUGUCAAUAAGUUACAGAUUUGUUUGUGCAAUUGUGACCCAAAAAUGAGGUUGAAGAUCAUCAGCCUGACAAUAAGUCUCUCACUGGUUCCUGGAUAGCUGACAGCUUGGGGUAAACAAAACAUUGAUAAACCUUUGAUCCUUUGGAAGGCAUGGUGGUAUGUCUAUCUCUCUGCAGUAAAAUGCCUGAAAUAUGAAGAAAACCAGUCAUAUUCCCUUACCCAUUGCUGUAAGCUGUGGUCUUUAACAAGUAACUGAGAGACUUUACAGUUAGCGUACUAAUCACACUGUGCUUCCUGUGAAGAAAUUCAAAGAACUUGGAGACAGGAGACUGAAGAACAGAGAGUCCUUGCAAUCUCAAUGAAUCCUGUGGACUGGUGCUAUUGAAUUGUGAUUCCCAGUGGGUUUUUUUUCUCCAUUGGUGAAACCAAUGUUUAUUUGUUUGUCUGCAUCUAUUUACAUAUUAAAAAGAGGGUUAUAUUUUUAACUUGUAGAGUUAGAUGUCAAUAAUUCACUUGUUGCUAUGGUUGGUUUGUUCACCGAACUGGUUCGUUAGUUUGCAGAUGUUUCAUUGCCCUGCUGGGUAAGAUCAUCAGCGCAGCCUCUGAUGAAGCGCUGUGCUGUUUUCCUGCCAGGUAUUUAAAUGCUGGGGUCCAUUGGAAUUGGUUACCUCAUUUCUGUUUUUUCUUUGCAGUGGUGUAUUGGCUUCAUGCGCUGAUGAUGUUACCCAGCAGGGUAAUAAAACGUCUGCAAACUAAUGAACCAGUUCGGCGAGCGAACCAACCAUAGCAUACACAACCCGAGCUACAAAUCUACUCAAGGUCCUUAGAAUUCAGUUGUUUACCUAGAGUGAUAAAAUCAUUUAUUUAUAAUAAAUAUGAGUUCUUGUUGGGGUCAGAAA
Long non-coding RNA from Stegostoma tigrinum, 2106 nucleotides. RefSeq lists it as uncharacterized. The transcript has 2 exons. NCBI's taxonomy places the organism in Eukaryota, Metazoa, Chordata, Chondrichthyes, Orectolobiformes, Stegostomatidae. The record is from RefSeq and is a predicted model, not a curated record.